Oxyura jamaicensis (ruddy duck) is the source of this 461-nucleotide long non-coding RNA. RefSeq lists it as uncharacterized. The record is from RefSeq and is a predicted model, not a curated record. The transcript is spliced from 2 exons. NCBI's taxonomy places the organism in Eukaryota, Metazoa, Chordata, Aves, Anseriformes, Anatidae.
CACAAGCAGCUCAGCCAGCAGGCUGAUGGGGAGAGAACUUCUGGCAAGCAGAGGCACUACAAGCAGCUGCCUGGUUACUUCAGAUGUGCUACUUUCCAUGCUACAAAGCUCGGAAGGAACUACUGUUUCUCAGGGUGUUGCUCCUACCAACUUCAGACUGCAUGGGAUCAUAGACAUGCUGAGGAUUCAGCCUUCCCACUACCUCCAAUGCAAUGCAUUUUAACCUGAGUAGAGGACAAUGAUAAUUUUUUAAGAAAACUUGAAUUUUGGUGAGAUUUUUUGUGGCAGAUGAGAUUUUAAAAAGGGUUCUGUAAAGCAGCUGGGAACUCAUACGAGCAUAAAUAAAUCCAAGGAAAUUAUGUGCUGGACAAGAUGUAGUUAAACACUGAAAAUAAUAUAUCUCAACCUGUGGCUUUAAACAAUGACUUUUAAACCAAGACAUAGCAAAAUGACAACAUACC